GAGAGUAAAACAGUACGUGAAAUUGUUGAAAGGGAAACGAUUGAAGUCAGUCAUGCCGGCGUUGGAUUCAGCUUGCUUCGUGGAGCGGGCGCAUUUCCUCGCAUGGCAGGUCAGCGUCAGUUUUGCGCGGCGUGAAAAGGCUCGGGUAAGGUAGCUCUCUUCGGGGAGUGUUAUAGACCUGGGCAGAUGCGCUGCGCGGGACUGAGGAUUGCAGCGGACACCUCUUCGGGGGCGCGGCGACCGAACCCUGCUCGGCCACCCGAGUUCGAUAGCGUGCUAACGGACGCGGGAGCGGCAGUGCACCGGAACAGGCAAGCCAGCGGUUCGCUUAGGAUGCUGACGUAAUGGCUUUAAACGA
Molecule: ribosomal RNA, 358 nt
Filed under: uncultured Archaeospora
Lineage: Eukaryota; Fungi; Glomeromycota; Glomeromycetes; Archaeosporales; Archaeosporaceae
Description: partial 28S ribosomal RNA
Source: RNAcentral